UCGUUGAGAAUACUCGUUCGUGCCGGUGUGAAUCAGACUACUGAGAACAAAAGGACAUUGGCGGGAUGAGAGGGAUGACUCAGUACAAAUGGGGAGGGGAUGCUGGCUCGUCGAGCAGCUCAACCCUUUCCAGUGUAGAGGUGCCUCAUGGGAGCCUCAGUAGUCUCCCACCCUGCAUCGUCAUUGACAAAUUCUGAAGAAUGCACAAGGGUUUGCAGCGAUCCGAUCCAGGUACAUCCCGCUUGCUUUAAUCUGGCUUGAGUUAACCGUGGUGUUGAUGUUACUAACUGAACUAAUGGUGGUCCAAUGCAGGCAGAGGAGGAGUCUGAAGCAUCAGUUAACCAGGGAGAUGAGCCCGUGAUACAUGAGAACUCAGAAAUCUCCACGGUGUCUCUGCAGGUGUCCAUGGUAAGCCAGCGAUUGUUAGUGAAGAAUCUCGUGUACAUGCAUGUUUACUGUACUAGCAUUUUAUCAGGUGAGUGGGGAUGCUGAACUGCGGAAGGAAUAACAGCCCGCCGAGCAGAUGAUGGAGCAAGGGAUUCAUGGGUGUCCAGAUGCAGAGGAAGGGUUCGGAGAGCAUGAUCCUGCUGCUAAUCAAGUGGAGCUGGAGCAGGAGGAAUCCCUGAAGCUGAUGUUAACAGCGGAUAGCGAUGUGGAGGAAAGCAAUCGCCAUAGCGCCAAACGUGCUAGAAAGAAUUUCUAAUUAGAAGUGUAGUUCGUUGUUAGUACAGUCAGAUUAGGCAAAGAUGCCUUUGCCUUGUUGCUGACAUGUGUACUCAGUAAUUAGUUUGAGUGUGUUGAGUAGAUCUCUAGGUUUGUAAGUGGUUCAUCGGUGGAGUAGUGAACUCUGUACUGUAAUGCAAAGGAGUGUCUGCUGUUGUCAACAAGUAUAAAUCAACGUGUCUAAGCGAGGCUUAUUUGUGUGACAUGCAUCUCCAUUACCAAUAACGGCUCCUUUGGUCCAGGUCCCGUAACUAAAUGGCUCACCAGGUCCACUCCCGUCCGCCACCGCAUUAACUGACGGCGCUUUCUGAG
Molecule: long non-coding RNA, 1035 nt
Filed under: Triticum aestivum (bread wheat)
Lineage: Eukaryota; Viridiplantae; Streptophyta; Magnoliopsida; Poales; Poaceae
Description: long non-coding RNA (TAES_LNC009222)
Source: RNAcentral